CUACGGGGUGCUCCAGUGGGGAAUAUUGCACAAUGGAGGGAACUCUGAUGCAGCAACGCCGCGUGGAGGAUGACACAUUUCGGUGCGUAAACUCCUUUUAUAUAAGAAGAUAAUGACGGUAUUAUAUGAAUAAGCACCGGCUAACUCCGUGCCAGCAGCCGCGGUAAUACGGGGGGUGCAAGCGUUACUCGGAAUCACUGGGCGUAAAGAGCAUGUAGGCUGGUUUGUAAGUUGGAAGUGAAAUCCUAUGGCUUAACCAUAGAACUGCUUCCAAAACUACUUACCUAGAGUAUGGGAGAGGUAGAUGGAAUUUCUGGUGUAGGGGUAAAAUCCGUAGAGAUCAGAAGGAAUACCGAUUGCGAAGGCGAUCUACUGGAACAUUACUGACGCUCAGAUGCGAAAGCGUGGGGAGCAAACAGGAUUAGAUACCCCAGUAGUC
This 439-nucleotide ribosomal RNA is filed under the name uncultured bacterium. RNAcentral describes it as "partial 16S ribosomal RNA". It matches the Rfam family "Bacterial small subunit ribosomal RNA", at positions 339 to 795 of the family's 1533-position model. The record is from RNAcentral.